This 560-nucleotide ribosomal RNA is filed under the name Erwinia sp. RNAcentral's name for it is "bacterial SSU rRNA". It matches the Rfam family "Bacterial small subunit ribosomal RNA", at positions 137 to 692 of the family's 1533-position model. Lineage: Bacteria; Pseudomonadati; Pseudomonadota; Gammaproteobacteria; Enterobacterales; Erwiniaceae. RNAcentral also lists the same sequence under 16 other names. The record is from RNAcentral.
AGGGGGAUAACUACUGGAAACGGUAGCUAAUACCGCAUAACGUCUUCGGACCAAAGUGGGGGACCUUCGGGCCUCACACCAUCGGAUGUGCCCAGAUGGGAUUAGCUAGUAGGUGGGGUAAUGGCUCACCUAGGCGACGAUCCCUAGCUGGUCUGAGAGGAUGACCAGCCACACUGGAACUGAGACACGGUCCAGACUCCUACGGGAGGCAGCAGUGGGGAAUAUUGCACAAUGGGCGCAAGCCUGAUGCAGCCAUGCCGCGUGUAUGAAGAAGGCCUUCGGGUUGUAAAGUACUUUCAGCGGGGAGGAAGGCGAUAAGGUUAAUAACCUUGUCGAUUGACGUUACCCGCAGAAGAAGCACCGGCUAACUCCGUGCCAGCAGCCGCGGUAAUACGGAGGGUGCAAGCGUUAAUCGGAAUUACUGGGCGUAAAGCGCACGCAGGCGGUCUGUCAAGUCAGAUGUGAAAUCCCCGGGCUUAACCUGGGAACUGCAUUUGAAACUGGCAGGCUAGAGUCUUGUAGAGGGGGGUAGAAUUCCAGGUGUAGCGGUGAAAUGCGUA